Molecule: long non-coding RNA, 858 nt
Organism: Vigna radiata var. radiata (mung bean)
Lineage: Eukaryota; Viridiplantae; Streptophyta; Magnoliopsida; Fabales; Fabaceae
Exons: 2
Source: RefSeq, a predicted model, not a curated record
UUUUAAUUACAAAUAUAACCUUUUGUUUUCCUUUUUUAACCUUUAUAGUUUUUUAUUUUUUUACUUAUUUACCAAACCCUACUUUUACUCUGAUCUCUCCACCCCCUCCCCCCAUUUCAGAUUUGAGAUUCGCCCUUUUUCUCUCCUCCGUCUCAUUUUCUCCCCCCGCCCUUUUCUUCUUCACGCGUCACACUAAUUUUUCUCUAUUUGACUCUACUUUGCACUUAGUCGUGGUGGAGUGCCGUGGUGCGGUAAGGUGUGUGGCUGUUGUUACUGUUCGUGGUGGUGUUUCGCUGUAGUGAGUGGUGCAUAUCUUCGUCUACCAGGCUACCAAAUUCAUCACAGCUGCAGGAUUUGGUGCUAAGUGGCUCGGCAUAUUUUGGAAUGGCAUGGUGCAAUCUUUUAUUAAUGCUCAAACUCUAUCACUUUCAGGUACAAAUGGGAAAACUUCAUGAAUGCUCAACUAUCUUUAUAUGUAGCAACUAUGUACUUCCUUAACCCAACCUAAGACUUGAUGCUAACUUUUGAUCACGAGGAGGCUCAAAGCUGAAGUUCUCAAUUAUUUUUUAUUAUACUUUGUUUACGGCUACACUGGUAUAAUCACUUCAUGAAUACAUUUUCUCCGUGGCAGAUAUGUGGGAACCAAAGCUUGCUGCUAAAAUAGCUAAGCAACUUAAAAGAUUUCAUUAUGUGGAAAUUNCAGGUUCAAAGGAACCUCAAUUAUGGAAUGAUGUUUGGAAGUUCUCUGAGAAAGCUCUAUUAUAUUUUCUUUCUUCUAGUUUGGUCUCUGUCCGAUUCUAUUGAUGAGUUACUUCUGUAAUUUUGUUUGAAGUCAAUUUGAUUUGUUGAUUUUUAUUA